CAGCAGCCACGGUAAUACGAAGGGGGCUAGCGUUACUCGGAAUUACUGGGCGUAAAGGGCGCGUAGGCGGCACGAUUAGUCAGGCGUGAAAUUCCUGGGCUCAACCUGGGGACUGCGCUUGAUACGGUCGAGCUAGAGGAUGGAAGAGGGUCGUGGAAUUCCCAGUGUAGAGGUGAAAUUCGUAGAUAUUGGGAAGAACACCGGUGGCGAAGGCGGCGACCUGGUCCAUUACUGACGCUGAGGCGCGACAGCGUGGGGAGCAAACAGGAUUAGAUACCCGAGUAGUCCCUGUCUCUUAUAA
This 301-nucleotide ribosomal RNA is filed under the name uncultured bacterium. RNAcentral's name for it is "partial 16S ribosomal RNA". It matches the Rfam family "Bacterial small subunit ribosomal RNA", at positions 509 to 809 of the family's 1533-position model. The record is from RNAcentral.